Molecule: ribosomal RNA, 263 nt
Filed under: uncultured Ascomycota
Lineage: Eukaryota; Fungi; Ascomycota
Description: partial 18S ribosomal RNA
Rfam family: Eukaryotic small subunit ribosomal RNA
Source: RNAcentral
UUAAAAAGCUCGUAGUUGAACUUUGGGCCUGGCUGAUCUGUCCUCCUAAUCGAGCGCACGGAUUCGGUCGGGCCUUUCCUCCUGGGGAACCCGAUGCCCUUCAGUGGGCGCCGUGGGGAACCAGGACUUUUACCUUGAAAAAAUUAGAGUGUUCAAAGCAGGCCUUUGCUCGAAUACAUUAGCAUGGAAUAAUAGAAUAGGACAUCGGUUCUAUUUUGUUGGUUUCUAGGACCGCUGUAAUGAUUAAUAGGGAUAGUCGGGGG